RNAcentral lists this long non-coding RNA (930 nucleotides) under Brachypodium distachyon (stiff brome). RNAcentral describes it as "long non-coding RNA (BDIS_LNC000635)". Lineage: Eukaryota; Viridiplantae; Streptophyta; Magnoliopsida; Poales; Poaceae. The record is from RNAcentral.
CUAAAGGUGAGCUUGAGAUUUUGAUCAUCCCAAAUCUCAGAAAUGGUGGUAGUUUGCUCCUUACAGAUAAUGUUCAUGUUCCAAAACUGAUCAGCAAUAGGUGAAGUACCAAACCAGACAACGUGGACUGUUGAAGAUGCUUCACAUCUUGAUAAUGCUUCAGUUUAUGGAAAAUUUGAAACACCUUCCAAUGCUCCAGGUCUCUUGCUACGAAAUCUGACCACGCUGAAGGCAACAAAUUAUGCUCUGAUUAGUAAGCUACUUCAAAAAUCUAACUCUAUUGCUCUGAUUAGUAAGCUACUUACAAAAUCUAACCCUAUUGUCGUAGCGUCUCCGGUAGCUACCAGAGUACUGCUGGUAAGCUUUACUUGAAAAACAUUAGUAUACAUUGCAUCUCUUGGCAAUCCUAAACGUCAAGAAGCUCAUUGCACCAGGUGGACCUACUGGCCUCUGUCUCAGUACCGUACACCCAAUGUUUAACCUAUUUUAAAUCAAACCACACCAAGAUCAAGUAGCCUACGAUGAUGAUUCACCACCUAGAGGCCUCCAAAAUCUUCAAUUUCCCCAGCUUUUGCACAUCGGGGACCGGAGCACAAAGAAACUAUUUCGUGCAUCAUCAGGCCCUUCUCCCCAUACCCUACGUAGGGAGAAGAGAAUUUCACUCGCCUGGAAGAACGCAGGUCGAACCAGAUGGAGGGACGAGCUCGCCGCCCGGUGACACCUUUACGCCAACCCAGCGGCAGCGGCAAUCUCGACGACGAUGAUGCCAAAACCCCCAAAUGCGUUGGCAAUUAUCCCUACGCGUGCUUUCGCCGGCAGCAGAUUAGAGCUAGGUAGGCCUGGAGUAAUAAUGGAGUGGGGGACGAGGUAGAUGACAAUGGACUCGGCGGCCAGAAUGCCAGUAGUUUCCCCUUCUUCUUUGGACACUGG